CAGCUCUGGUUUCUCCUCAGGCCGUAUAAAUCUUUGACUUUUUACUAAAUAUUCCCGCAGAGAGGAACAUUUGGGUUUUUCAUUAAUUUUUGAAGCUCUACAAGUGUUGACU
This is a small nuclear RNA of Heteronotia binoei (common prickly gecko), 112 nucleotides long. RefSeq annotates it as U5 spliceosomal RNA. The record is from RefSeq and is a predicted model, not a curated record. NCBI's taxonomy places the organism in Eukaryota, Metazoa, Chordata, Lepidosauria, Squamata, Gekkonidae. The transcript has a single exon.